GCCAAAACAAUUUCUACAAAGAAAACAAUACAGAAACUAUAUCUCAGAACUUAUUGCAGCCAUCUAAAAUAGAAAGUAAAUACAUAUAACUCUUUAUAUAACCAAAAAGGUAGUAAACAAGAGAAAUGAGAGUCCACAAAUUUCAAUAUCGAGAAGAAAAAUAAUAUGCAAAUAGUACAGCUGUCAUUCUAUAUAGGUACAACAGGAAGAAAAUAAAGUACAGAUCU
RNAcentral lists this unclassified non-coding RNA (227 nucleotides) under Hevea brasiliensis (rubber tree). The record is from RNAcentral. Lineage: Eukaryota; Viridiplantae; Streptophyta; Magnoliopsida; Malpighiales; Euphorbiaceae.